GACAGAGGGUGCAAACGUUGUUCGGAUUUACUGGGCGUAAAGCGCGUGUAGGCGGCUUCGUAAGUUGGAUGUGAAAUCCCACGGCUCAACCGUGGACGUGCAUCCAAAACUACGUCGCUGGAGUCUCGGAGAGGAAGGUGGAAUGCUUGGUGUAGAGGUGAAAUUCGUAGAUAUCAAGCAGAACACCUGCGGCGAAGGCGGCCUUCUGGACGAUGACUGACGCUGAGACACGAAAGCGUGGGGAGCAAACAGG
Molecule: ribosomal RNA, 253 nt
Filed under: uncultured bacterium
Lineage: Bacteria
Description: partial 16S ribosomal RNA
Rfam family: Bacterial small subunit ribosomal RNA
Source: RNAcentral